CCCGAUCUCCGAAGUUAAGCAACGUUGAGCCUGGUCAGUACCUAAAUGGGUGACCGCCUGGAGAUAACAGGUGCUGUAAG
This 80-nucleotide ribosomal RNA is filed under the name Acanthosepion pharaonis. The record is from RNAcentral. Lineage: Eukaryota; Metazoa; Mollusca; Cephalopoda; Sepiida; Sepiidae.